This 481-nucleotide ribosomal RNA is filed under the name uncultured bacterium. RNAcentral's name for it is "bacterial SSU rRNA". It matches the Rfam family "Bacterial small subunit ribosomal RNA", at positions 8 to 486 of the family's 1533-position model. The record is from RNAcentral.
AGAGUUUGAUCCUGGCUCAGAUUGAACGCUGGCGGCAUGCCUUACACAUGCAAGUCGAACGGCAGCGGACCUUCGGGUGCCGGCGAGUGGCGAACGGGUGAGUAAUGUAUCGGAACGUACCUUUCAGUGGGGGAUAACGUAGCGAAAGUUACGCUAAUACCGCAUAUUCUGUGCGCAGGAAAGCAGGGGAUCGCAAGACCUUGCGCUGAUUGAGCGGCCGAUAUCAGAUUAGCUAGUUGGUGAGGUAAAGGCUCACCAAGGCGACGAUCUGUAGCGGGUCUGAGAGGAUGAUCCGCCACACUGGAACUGAGACACGGUCCAGACUCCUACGGGAGGCAGCAGUGGGGAAUUUUGGACAAUGGGGGCAACCCUGAUCCAGCCAUGCCGCGUGAGUGGAGAAGGCCUUCGGGUUGUAAAGCUCUUUCGGCCGGGAAGAAAUCGCAUGGGUUAAUACCCUGUGCGGAUGACGGUACCGGCAUAA